This is a long non-coding RNA of Triticum dicoccoides, 762 nucleotides long. RefSeq lists it as uncharacterized. The transcript has 3 exons. NCBI's taxonomy places the organism in Eukaryota, Viridiplantae, Streptophyta, Magnoliopsida, Poales, Poaceae. The record is from RefSeq and is a predicted model, not a curated record.
CCACACAAGUUCAACCAUACCCCAUCUCUUCUCCUCUCCUACUACCUAGAAUAAACACUUGAAUAAUCUGCAGGUGGCCCGCGGUUCGUGAUCCAUCCACGAGCCACACCCAUCCACCCCGUCACCUCAGCUUCGUUCCCACGAAGAUACAGAGUUCGGUCUUGCUCCGGCGCCGUGGAAGAGAGAGAGAUAGAUGGGUUCCACCGGCGCCACCGCCGUCCUUCUGUCCUGCGUCGUGCUGUCCAUUGUCGCCGCCGGCUCCGCCGCGUCGGACAAACCACUCAUCAUAUCAAAUGCGGCCCUUUUAGCCUCGCCCCCGGAGGCAUCGCCGUCGCCCGGCCGCAAACUGGGGGGCUUCAUGGAGGCAGGGCUGUGCCCGGUGUAGUUGGGGCACCUGAAGCAGAUGGGCAAGGUACAGGGCAGCUGCUUGGGACAGGCGAUCCCGCAGCGGCGGUGCUGCACGGCGUUCAAGGGCUUCGUGUGCCCCUACGGGGCCACGAUGAACGACGUCGACAACGGCUGCGCCGCUGAGAUGAUGGCGACGAUCCAGGAGCUCUGCAAGGUGCCCAAGGGCUACUUCGUCAUGUGCGGGGAUUCAGCCGAGGGCAUCACGUGCUGACCUGAGUGACUGAUUGUUUGUUUGUUUGUUUGAUCAAGUGCUAAGAUUAGCCGGUGCCAUCGACGACGACGUACGUUUAAGCUGUUUCUUCUUGCUCUCUUUUUUCUUACUUACUUAUAUGUUAGUACUUUCUUUUCCUGCGA